GCCCUUCGGGGUGAGUACAGCGGCGGACGGGUGAGUAACGCGUAGGAAUCUACCUAGUAGUGGGGGACAACUCGUGGAAACGCGAGCUAAUACCGCAUACGCCCUACGGGGGAAAGCGGGGGAUCUUCGGACCUCGUGCUAUUAGAUGAGCCUGCGUAAGAUUAGCUAGUUGGUGGGGUAAUGGCCUACCAAGGCGACGAUCUUUAGCUGGUCUGAGAGGAUGAUCAGCCACACCGGGACUGAGACACGGCCCGGACUCCUACGGGAGGCAGCAGUCGGGAAUAUUGCGCAAUGGGCGAAAGCCUGACGCAGCCAUGCCGCGUGUGUGAAGAAGGCCCUAGGGUUGUAAAGCACUUUCAAUUGGGAGGAAAAGCUAAUGGUUAAUAGCCAUUAGCCCUGACGUUACCUUUAGAAGAAGCACCGGCUAACUCCGUGCCAGCAGCCGCGGUAAUACGGAGGGUGCAAGCGUUAAUCGGAAUUACUGGGCGUAAAGCGCGCGUAGGCGGUUUUUUAAGUCGGAUGUGAAAGCCCCGGGCUCAACCUGGGAAUCGCAUCCGAUACUGGAUAACUAGAAUGCGGGAGAGGGAGGUAGAAUUCCAUGUGUAGCAGUGAAAUGCGUAGAUAUAUGGAGGAAUACCAGUGGCGAAGGCGGCCUCCUGGCUCGACAUUGACGCUGAGGUGCGAAAGCGUGGGGAGCAAACGGGAUUAGAUACCCCGGUAGUCCACGCCGUAAACGAUGUCUACUAGCUGUAGGGGUACUUGAGACCUUUGUAGCGCAGCUAACGCAAUAAGUAGACCGCCUGGGGAGUACGGCCGCAAGGUUAAAACUCAAAUGAAUUGACGGGGGCCCGCACAAGCAGUGGAGCAUGUGGUUUAAUUCGAUGCAACGCGAAGAACCUUACCAGGCCUUGACAUCCCCGGAACUUUCUAGAGAUAGAUUGGUGCCUUCGGGAACCGGGUGACAGGUGCUGCAUGGCUGUCGUCAGCUCGUGU
This 993-nucleotide ribosomal RNA is filed under the name uncultured bacterium. RNAcentral describes it as "bacterial SSU rRNA". It matches the Rfam family "Bacterial small subunit ribosomal RNA", at positions 75 to 1065 of the family's 1533-position model. The record is from RNAcentral.